This 569-nucleotide ribosomal RNA is filed under the name Cryptorhynchinae gen. sp. ARC4864. Its description in RNAcentral is "SSU rRNA". It matches the Rfam family "Eukaryotic small subunit ribosomal RNA", at positions 30 to 581 of the family's 1831-position model. Lineage: Eukaryota; Metazoa; Arthropoda; Insecta; Coleoptera; Curculionidae. The record is from RNAcentral.
GCUUGUCUCAAAGAUUAAGCCAUGCAUGUCUCAGUACAAGCCAAAUUAAGGUGAAACCGCGAAAGGCUCAUUAAAUCAGUUAUGGUUCCUUAGAUCGUACCCACAAUUACUUGGAUAACUGUGGUAAUUCUAGAGCUAAUACAUGCAAACAGAGCUCCGACCGGAGACGGGAGGAGUGCUUUUAUUAGAUCAAAACCAAUCGGUGGCGGGCUCGUCAUCGUACAACUUGGUGACUCUGAAUAACUUUACGCUGAUCGCACGGUCAUCGCACCGGCGACGCAUCUUUCAAAUGUCUGCCUUAUCAACUGUCGAUGGUAGGUUCUGCGCCUACCAUGGUUGUAACGGGUAACGGGGAAUCAGGGUUCGAUUCCGGAGAGGGAGCCUGAGAAACGGCUACCACAUCCAAGGAAGGCAGCAGGCGCGCAAAUUACCCACUCCCGGCACGGGGAGGUAGUGACGAAAAAUAACGAUACGGGACUCAUCCGAGGCCCCGUAAUCGGAAUGAGUACACUCUAAACCCUUUAACGAGGAUCAAUUGGAGGGCAAGUCUGGUGCCAGCAGCCGCGGUA